UGUUUGAAAGAAUAAAUUGAUCGUCCCUUUGAAAUAAAAGUUAAGAUCAAAUCUUUUAGAAACGGCUCCCAAUGGCAAAUUACGAAAGAUAGGCAAUAGCGUCUGACUCACUUGGGCAUGAUUCGUCGAAGAUCGAGGCGCGCGUUCACGCCCGACAUGAUUCAACGUCCGGCCGUUGGGCCCGCUUGAAAUUCCAUGGCAUAUUCCGCAUGCCUUUGAACGCAACCCAACAGUUCUUCGCAUACAAAAGGGCCUUGUUGCUACGGGGCUGCUGAGCUCUCAAGGAUGUGAUAAUCUUUCGAGUCGUUCAACCUUCGACAAUAUCGUUGUGUUUACGAAAGAAUCCAUCACUUUGGAACAGAUACGAUUCAGGUUAAACAGGCAUAUAAUGAUUCCGACCAAAGGCGUCAUUCAACACCGAAAAUCCUUUUAAACCUGUAAAAUAAUGAAAUAUGAUUUACGUUCGUCGGCAUACCGAUAAUAUAUAUAUAUCCGCAAGAGGAAAGUUAACGAGGACAGGCUCGAUGGCGAUUGGCAAAUACAUACAUACAUACAUACAUGCAUACAUACAUACAUACAUGCAUAUAUAUAUAUAUAUAUAUAUAUAUAUAUAUAUCGAGAACAGUUGAAGAACACGCGGAGUUACAAGAAAGUCAAUCUAGUUCGUCGAGUCUAACGGUGGUGCGGUAUGAUGUGUGGUGUGUUUGCUCGUAGUAGUAGUAAUAAUAGUAGUAGUAAUAGUAGUAGUAAUAAUAGUAGUAGUAGUAAUAGUAGUAGUAAUAAUAGUAGUAGUAGUAAUAUUAGCAGUUUGUAUACGGUGUGCACGCGCCUUGCGUUGACGACGAAGUAUGUACAUACGUGAGUGAAAGAGACCGAGUUGGAAAAAGGUUAUUACUUCCCUGUCUCUGUAAGACACGGUGAUACGUAAUAGUAUCACGGAGCCAACCAAGGCCGUAAAUCAGACGGUUUUCAGGAGCUGAGGUUGAACUCGGUCUCAUUAAUAUCGACGGCUUUCGAUCUUAUUCGUUUUUUUCUCUCCGCCUCUCUCUCUCUCUUUCUCUCCUUCUGUUCCUCUCUCCAUUUGAAUUAAUCGUUUACUUUAGAACGUUCUCGAAAUAAGACAUCGAGCAAAUAACUGUCUCGUAUAGAGUAGGGAGCAAGCGAGAGAUGGAAAAGUGGUCUAAAGCAGGGCUAACGGAAGGUUACUGACUCUGUUGAGUCAUAAGGUGCAGCCAGUAUGAAUCGUGUGUCCGCCAAGCAGCAGUCAGCCCAGUCAGCCAGCCAGCGAGCAGCAACGCGUCGCUCUUUGCCACGCAUUGUGCGUGCAGGUUGCACGGAGGGCUCAUGAACGAUGCGUACCUACUCCGACCACGUACCGUGAGUCACGUGGGAAGCAUGCGUGAAGUUAUUCGUCGGCAGGUUCGGCGGUUUACUCCUUUACCAUCUCAUUCUACCUCCUCUUAAUCUCUCUCUCUCUCUCUCUCUCUCUUUCUCUCUCUUUCUCUUUUUCUCUUUUUUUCCACCACUAGUAAGAUUCAUCGAUAUCUCAUGAGUAUCUCACUUUUCAUCGUAUCUGUAAUCGACUUGAUAACAUACACACAUACAUACAUAUAUAUAUAUUUGAAUUAUUAUUCUUAAUAAAACGACUUGGAAUUUAAA
Vespa crabro (European hornet) is the source of this 1659-nucleotide long non-coding RNA. RefSeq lists it as uncharacterized. NCBI's taxonomy places the organism in Eukaryota, Metazoa, Arthropoda, Insecta, Hymenoptera, Vespidae. The record is from RefSeq and is a predicted model, not a curated record. The transcript has 2 exons.